This 253-nucleotide ribosomal RNA is filed under the name uncultured bacterium. RNAcentral describes it as "partial 16S ribosomal RNA". It matches the Rfam family "Bacterial small subunit ribosomal RNA", at positions 524 to 776 of the family's 1533-position model. The record is from RNAcentral.
UACGUAGGGGGCAAGCGUUGUCCGGAAUCAUUGGGCGUAAAGAGCGUGUAGGCGGCCCGGUAAGUCCGCUGUGAAAGUCCAGGGCUCAACCCUGGGAUGCCGGUGGAUACUGUCGGGCUCGAGUCCGGAAGAGGAGUGUGGAAUUCCUGGUGUAGCGGUGAAAUGCGUAGAUAUCGUAAGGAAGACCAGUGGCGAAGGCGGGUCUCUGGACAGUUCCUGACGCUGAGGCACGAAGGCCAGGGGAGCAAACGGG